GUUCUCCUUCCAGCAGCACAUAUAACUAAAAUUUAAAUAAUGCAGAGAUGAUAACCAUAGCCCCUAUACAAGUAUGACACAAAUUCAUGAAGUGUUCCAUUAAUAA
Molecule: small nuclear RNA, 106 nt
Filed under: Sorex araneus (European shrew)
Lineage: Eukaryota; Metazoa; Chordata; Mammalia; Eulipotyphla; Soricidae
Source: RNAcentral